UGCUGCAAGCUAUCCCUCGCUGCUAAGCUAUCCCUCGCUGCUAAGCUAUCGCCGCUGCCAACCUAUCUAUUGCUGCAAGCUAUCCCUCGCUGCUAAUCUAUCGCUGCCAACCUAUCUACCGCGGCGAAUCUAUCUAUCACUGCCAAUUUAUCUACCACUGCCAAUCUAUCUAUCGCUGCCAAUCUAUUGCUGCUAAUCUAUCGCUGCUAAUCUAUCGCCGCUGCUAAUCUAUCCCUCGCUGCUAAGCUAUCCCUCACUGCUAAGCUAUCUCUCGCUGCUAAGCUAUCCCUCGCUGCUAAGCUAUCCCUCGCUGCUAAGCUAUCCCUCACUACUAAGCUAUCUAUCACUGCUAAUCUAUUGCUGCUAAUCUAUCACUGCUAAUCUAUCGCUGCUAAUCCCUCGCUGCUAAUCUAUCGCUGCCAACCUAUCUACCGCGGCGAAUCUAUCUAUCACUGCCAAUUUAUCUACCACUGCCAAUCUAUCUAUCGCUGCCAAUCUAUUGCUGCUAAUCUAUCGCUGCUAAUCUAUCGCCGCUGCCAAUCUAUCCCUCGCUGCUAAGCUAUCGCCGCUGCCAACCUAUCUAUUGCUGCAAGCUAUCCCUCGCUGCUAAGCUAUCCCUCGCUGCUAAGCUAUCGCCGCUGCCAACCUAUCUAUUGCUGCAAGCUAUCCCUCACUGCUAAGCUAUCCCUCGCUGCUAAGCUAUCGCCGCUGCCAACCUAUCUAUUGCUGCAAGCUAUCCCUCACUGCUAAGCUAUCCCUCGCUGCUAAGCUAUCGCCGCUGCCAACCUAUCUAUUGCUGCAAGCUAUCCCUCGCUGCUAAUCUAUCGCUGCCAACCUAUCUACCGCGGCGAAUCUAUCUAUCACUGCCAAUUUAUCUACCACUGCCAAUCUAUCUAUCGCUGCCAAUCUAUUGCUGCUAAUCUAUCGCUGCUAAUCUAUCGCCGCUGCUAAUCUAUCCCUCGCUGCUAAGCUAUCCCUCACUGCUAAGCUAUCUCUCGCUGCUAAGCUAUCCCUCGCUGCUAAGCUAUCCCUCACUACUAAGCUAUCUAUCACUGCUAAUCUAUUGCUGCUAAUCUAUCACUGCUAAUCUAUCGCUGCUAAUCUAUCGCUGCUAUUCUAUCGCUGCCAACCUAUCUACCGCGGCGAAUCUAUCUAUCACUAUCAUUACUAGUUCAAAAUAGAACUAGAGCAUAAAUACACUAAACUUCUUUUGAUAGGUAAUGAUUUUUGGUAACACUCAUAGCAUCAUAUCAUCUAUAUAGGGUAAAUCAUGGUCCCAUUUGGUCCCAUUUUACAAAAUGGGAUCAAAUGGGAUCAGAAUCAGUAAUUUAUAAGAAGAACAUGAUCUGAGACUAGAUUUAUAAUAUAAACAGUAUAAAGUGACUAAUUUAAUAAACACUAUAUGAGAUCAGAACUAAGA
This 1420-nucleotide small RNA is filed under the name Histoplasma ohiense. RNAcentral's name for it is "hypothetical lncRNA". The record is from RNAcentral. Lineage: Eukaryota; Fungi; Ascomycota; Eurotiomycetes; Onygenales; Ajellomycetaceae.